AUCGCGGCUUCGAGGAACUUACGAGGGUCGCCGACCUUAUCUUUGAACGGUUCGCCGCUCUUCACCACUGAGAUGAAGAACUUACGCAAACGAUCCCUGGGAUCAUCCCGUCCAGCGCCUCGUCCGCCGCGUCCUUCUUCGCCGCGUCCUUCUUCGCCGCGUCCUCGUCCGCCGCGUCCUCGUCCUCGACCUGCGGACAUCUUUUCCUCGGAACAACGAAAGGUGGCGGAGAUCGUUUUCUCGUAUCACGUCUCGCGCUGGCCUGAGCGUCGGUGGUCCUCGCUCGUGUGGUCGCGAAUCGAAUAUUUAGCGGCGAUUUUAACGGCGGCUUCUGAAUCACCAGCGCAAGAAGCCCUAAGAAUCCCUAAGCCCAUCACCAGCGCGACUCGAUCGGUAAUUCAAACAUUCGUAUGAUAAGUUAUCGUCCUUAUUAAGUGUUACCUUCGUAUUAGGUUUAUUUAUUUACUGCGUGCUUACUAAAAAUUACCUUCGUAUCAAGCCUUGCGUCCAGUUCCCUAAUCUUUUCUUGAAGCCGAAAAAUAAUGGGGUCUGUAGAACUUUUUAUAACCUCGUUUGAUCGUUCCCCUGGUUGGUCAUCGCUUCGCUUACGCAUCGCGUCCGCUUGAGCUCUCAUUGCAAAGUUUGGAGCAAGAUCAAGUGAUGCCAACUUUGCUCCCGUCAGUGGUGAUGUGUCGUGUGUCUCAAACCAUCGUUCAAUGUGUUCGCGUUCAUAUGUUAUACCGUCGCCACAACAAAACACGGGAUCUUUAAACAGAUCGUAGCCGAUAGGACAAGUGACAUGUUUGAGACGCUCUUCAUCAAUGACAUUUUCAGCGAACUUCUUGACGGCCUUCACAGCACCUUUAGACAUCUUCAUUGGAGCCAUCGCGAGGAGGAGAGUAACGUGGCGGAGUAAAGUUGCGGGUAGGUAGUGGUGGUUCUUGAACUGGCAGAUCUUCAACUGGUGGACCGAAUGGCUGAAGUCGACGCCGUUCAACUGGCAGUUCUUGAACUGGCGGUUCUUGAACUGGCGGUUCUUGCACUGGCGGUUCUUGAACUUGUGGAGCUUCUAUCCAGAGGGGAGCACCUAGCACGCCCCGGUGGUUGACCGGAUCUGGACGUUGAACUUGGUUGAGCGGAUACGGGGUUCCGCGAUCUAUAACACGGCGUAGUUCCCGAACCCCUCUGCUGGUAUUCUGGAUUGUAGAAAAUCGUUCGUCGGCCCUUCGUCGCUGACACCUUUGGCAGUAAACUUGGAAAGUAACACUCACAGCGAUCGCUAAGACGACGACCAAUGCUUCCACUACCCAGGUCGGUCCCAUCCGCGGGUCAGUUUAUGAGACACACGGCAAGCCUG
RNAcentral lists this long non-coding RNA (1357 nucleotides) under Micromonas commoda. Its description in RNAcentral is "long non-coding RNA (MCOM_LNC000480)". The record is from RNAcentral. Lineage: Eukaryota; Viridiplantae; Chlorophyta; Mamiellophyceae; Mamiellales; Mamiellaceae.